GUGGCAGCCGCCGCGGUAAAACCAGCACCUCAAGUGGUCAGGAGGAUUAUUGGGCCUAAAGCAUCCGUAGCCUGCUUUGUAAGUUUUCGGUUAAAUCCAUGUGCUCAACAUAUGGGCUGCCGGGAAUACUGCACAGCUAGGGAGUGGGAGAGGUAGACGGUACUCCAUAGGAAGGGGUAAAAUCCUUUGAUCUAUGGAAGACCACCUGUGGCGAAGGCGGUCUACCAGAACACGUUCGACGGUGAGGGAUGAAAGCUGGGGGAGCAAACCGGAUUAGAUACCCGGGUAGUCCCAGCUGUAAACUAUGCAAACUCGGUGAUGCAUUGGCUUGUGGCCAGUGCAGUGCCGCAGGGAAGCCGUUAAGUUUGCCGCCUGGGAAGUACGUACGCAAGUAUGAAACUUAAAGGAAUUGGCGGGGGAGCACCACAAGGGGUGAAGCCUGCGGUUCAAUUGGAGUCAACGCCAGAAAUCUUACCUGGGGAGACAGCAGAAUGAAGGUCAAGCUGAAGACUUUACCAGACAAGCUGAGAGGUGGUGCAUGGCCGUCGCCAGCUCGUGCCGUGAGAUGUCCUGUUAAGUCAGGUAACGAGCGAGAUCCCUGCCUCUAGUUGCCACCAUUACUCUCAGGAGUAGUGGGGCGAAUUAGCGGGACCGCCACAGUUAAUGUGGAGGAAGGAAGGGGCCACGGCAGGUCAGUAUGCCCCGAAACUCUGGGGCCACACGCGGGCUGCAAUGGUAGUGACAAUGAGUUCCGAAACCGAGAGGUGGAGGUAAUCUUCAAACGCUACCACAGUUAUGAUUGAGGGCUGCAACUCGCCCUCAUGAAUAUGGAAUCCCUAGUAACUGCGUGUCAUUAUCGCGCGGUGAAUACGUCCCUGCUCCUUGCACACACCGCCCGUC
This 900-nucleotide ribosomal RNA is filed under the name uncultured archaeon. Its description in RNAcentral is "bacterial SSU rRNA". It matches the Rfam family "Archaeal small subunit ribosomal RNA", at positions 455 to 1354 of the family's 1478-position model. The record is from RNAcentral.